Long non-coding RNA from Prinia subflava (tawny-flanked prinia), 4952 nucleotides. RefSeq lists it as uncharacterized. NCBI's taxonomy places the organism in Eukaryota, Metazoa, Chordata, Aves, Passeriformes, Cisticolidae. The record is from RefSeq and is a predicted model, not a curated record. The transcript has 3 exons.
AGUAAAAUAGAACAAAUUAAUUUCAGAAUUUUAUGUCUUUAAAAAAAAAUUGCAUUACUGUGAUCCAACCUACAGGUAUAUAAAAUAUUCUACAACCUGAAUUUUAAAUGAAAUACAGAAACUUGAGAACAAUGAUAGACUACGGAAAAACUGGAAGGUUUCGGUUUUUUUUUUUCCCAGUAAGGAACUAAUGACAAGAUAAAACAAAACCCAAGAGAACAACUGAAACAAGUAGCUGGAUAAUAAAUCCUUCAUGAAACAAGGUUAACCUCACUCCUCCACUUCAGAAGUGGCCAGUUAUCUAAGUAUGAAGAAACACAACAUAUUUCAAGCUAUGGGGAAGAUAAGACACAGCAAUUUUCAAAAUUGACUUUGGAGUGCAGACAGCAUAGAAAGAAAUGCAACAUUUAUUUGUUACAGAUAGUAACUAUAAUUGCCAUUUCAACUACUCCUGCUUAGGAAUGUUACACCUGUUGCACCCAUCAGGCAAUGAUUCUUUUCCAAAUUUCAAGACUCUUUAGUGUUACACACCCCUCAGAAAGGUGCUCCCUUAGCACUGAAGACUCGGGAAUUGUUUGAUUCAAUGCUAUUCUCCUCCUAGCUAUAGAGGCCCUUGCAGAACGUGGCCAGGUGAGAUUAAUUUCUGGAAUCACCUAAAAUUGCUAUCAUGAAUGGUUAUAGCUAGAGAGGGAAGAGCAUGUCUGAAUGAAGCCAGUGCUUAUUUUUUCAGUACUUGUCAUAUACUUUACCACCUUGACCAGGCUGUAAAAACUUCUCUUCCCCAGGCUGAGACACAACAAUGUACUGAGGAACUGAGGUCCUUCAGCUCAACAGCUGCCACUGAAGCGUCUCCCUAAGAUAGCAGAAACAUCACUUUUUCCUGAAAUAUUUCCUCCUGCUUUCAAGAUUUGUUGGCAAAAGCCAAGGGCUUCACAUUCCCCAAUAAUCUAAGAACAAGUGAAGACAUUGGAGUCACCUAUUUUAAUAAAGUGCAGCAUGCAUGAAGCAGCACAGUCGUCAGCAAAGGGAAAAGAACCACAUCAACAGAAAAUAAGUAAAAUGUUUAUCGGACUGCUGCCUUUGAAAUCAAACAAGUAGAACAAUGAAUAUUAAUAUUUCUCAGGUAUGAAAUGCAGGAAGUGUAAGAGACUUUCUAUUUACUAUACACACGCUUAGUACAGAUGAGAGCUUUUUUUUCAGAUUUUCGAAGUUAUUUCCCCCUUUCCCCAAGCUGACAUUCAGUACCUCCUGUCCUACUACAUCACUAGAUGUAGUGAUAUAUGAUGCUACAACAAUUGAGCAAAAGUUCACACAGUUACUAGUUUCUUCUGAAAAUGAUAAAAAGAAGUAUGUGGCAGCUUAGUCAAAUGGACAGUUUGCUAAGGGUUUUCUACAGGAAACACACUAAAACACACUACACACUCCUACAAGGUUGAUACUGACUAAAUAUAUCAAAAACAUAUUUAAUCAAAUACCAGACUGGGAAUCUGAAUGAGGACUCUUUUGCUCAGUAUUUUCCACUACUUCAGCAUGGCUUUCUGUCAAUUUCUUCUCUUUUCUCACUUUAACAAAUUUGAUUUGAAAAUCUUGAAAAGACAAACAGCAGGAACAGACAUGCAAGCAAGACAGGACAGAAAUUCUUAGUAUCCAAUUUCCUUUAUGGUUUAAAUGACAAAAGCAAGUAGAAAGGAUAUUACCUAGGUCUCUAACCUGUCCAGUAUGGGAGAUGUGUCUUGAAUCAUAAUUUGCACAUUUGUUUAAAGCUGAAGAACAAAUAGUUUAAACGUGCGUAGAAUAACUAGUGGAAUUAUCUUAAAAUGUACUAUAUACUUCUCAGUGAAACAGGCUAUUAGUUUAACUCUGUACCUAUUUUCUGGCACUUCUGUAACAAGAUGCCUUGAGAAAAAAAAACCCACAACAAAGAAGUGUAGAGCACAUAUUUAAUCUUCUUCUCUUUGUCUUUCAAGAAAGCAUGAUAUAGAUAAUGAAGUAACUCAAAAUCAAAACCUCAAACUGUAAGCAACAUAUCAGCUUGGUGUAUUACAGAAGCUAAUUAUCCAGGCUUUGUUCAGAUAACAUUAUCUCUAUACAGUCACACUCAAAGACAUCAACUUAUACCUAUGGAGCAUGCAUUUGUAAUGAAUGCAGUGCCACACUGUGGGUGAAGGUAAGAUUUAUGCAUUUAUAUAAGUUUGAUUGAUGAUGAUAAACAACUUAAAAAAUACGAAUUCCAUUAGCUGACAGUCUAUUGAUUAUAUCCUGUCUGCAACCAACAUGAAAGUUGGACCAACAAGGAUCUCCACAAAAUUUUGAAGCAUGCUGACAUUACACUUUACAGAAAUUAAAUUCAGCUUAUUUUCAUGUUUGGUAGCAUCACAGCAGUGUUAUUAUUUUCUCCCACAAGAAAUUAUUUUGCUAUUUAGAUGUUUACACAUAGCUUUACACAGAAGUACAAGGCUAAAUCAUCAUCUUCUCAGUCAUCCAGUGCAGUAACUUACAUUGCACUACUGCUGUGCCAUCAUCCACUUUUAAGAGGUCUGAGCAACAGUGCACAACAUACACACACUGAGAAUAUUAGACAUGGCAAAACAGUAUUUGACAAAGUACUUGGAAGCACACAAGACAAACAGAGAGAUACACAGAGGAAAACAUGAGCAGUUCUGGAAGCCUAUCCAUAGUGAACUCCUUAGUUACCCAACUUGUCAUUUUAAAACACCACAAAUACAUCUACAUGAACUAAAGUUAUAGCCACAUAAAACUGCAGAGGAAAACUCAAUUUAUCCCAAAGGUGGCCAAGGUGGUCUCUGCAAAUGGCUCUCUUUUGACUCCAGGUAAAUUACCCUAUAACUAGACCCUACCUUGCAGAAAGGCAUUCAUCAUAGCACACACUUUGCAACUGCUACCAUUUGCACGUGUCCAGUGUGACAAAUAUAACCCUUUCCUCAUGGGACGACACAGCCAGGAGAUCCUCUUCAUGCUGUGCAGUUACCACCUUCUUGUCAAGACAGAGAGAGGAAAGGCCUCUAGUAGGAAUUAAAGGCUCCUCUGCUUGGCAAUAUUAAAGCAGUAGGUGGGGUAUGGCUUAUUGCAUGUGCUCCAUGAGCAUGGUAUUCUAUGCAGACUGGUGACAGAGCAGUAAAUGAAAGAAAGCUAGUAAUCUGCCUGGCAAAAAAUGGUGCUCAGGGAGGAAUUCUGUGGAUGGAUCUGGUACAUUUGGCAUACACUCCUAUAUUCUCAGUUUUGUUAUGUCCAACUGCCAAGAUGUUGGAUCUUGGAGUCGAAAUGCAUUACACACAGAUUACUUUCAACUCCCUCCAAAAAAACUUCAAAAAACAGUCCCUCAUCAACAGUAUGAAUAGGCCAGCCUCUUUUGCAUGUAAAUUGGUUCCCUACUGGCAAAACUGGGUAGGCUCACCUUCUGAAUGUUUUUCUGUUAAAUGAGAAGAUUUUCUUAAGAGAGACCUUGAAAAGUUUACCAGAUAUUUCAUACAUCAGUAAAUUGUAGGUCAAGUUUGUUUCAGUUCUAAUAACUUUACCUCUUGUUAACCUGCACAGCUGAUAAGAUAUUCUUAAUUUUAAAAAUGACAGUGGUGGAAAUCAUUUGGAUGGAAUAUCUCAGUAUAAUCACAUUGUUUCUUAUGAUUCAUUUCGCAUUUUACUUAAGCCACACAAGCAUUGUUCUCUAAAACUUCUCUAAAACCCUGCCCCUUUAGGAACCAAUUCCAGUGUGUUUUCUUCCAUAAGAAGUAUCAAAGUUGGGUUGCCUCAAGAUUCUCAGAAAAACCAUGCAAACAUGCUGAACUUCUAAAGUCACCAGGAAAUUUUCUUUGAUAGUAUGCAGUAAAAUGAGGCCAUGCUAACCUCUUAAUUCUCACAUUGCUCAGCAAGAUCACUCCAUCCUUAUAUUAUUUGAAAAGCUGUAAGGAAAUAAUCAUAUCUCACAACCACCUGAUAAGAACUUUGUCAUAUCCAUCUGAGUUUUACAUCAACAACGUAAAAGGCCAUAGACAGAUAAGAAGUCCAGCUACCACCUAUUAGGAUUAAGCCUAAACGGCACAACUGCUGACCAGAAUUUGACUCCUCACUAAGACAAUACUGACAGGAUACAGCUAGUCUUAAAAGCUGAGACUACCAGCAGUAUUUUAACUCUGUUAGAAAAAAACAUCAUUUUUGUAAUUUUCUGUUAAGGUCCACUUGCAAUUAAUAUGAGUCAUGAAAAUUAAGAAACCACCAGUUACUACAAGAAGAAGAGGCAAUCACCCUGAGGAAACUCAUUACUUAUAGGCUCUUCUACCCAGCAAGAAGACAGUGUAUAAAUUAUAAAAAUAGAGGUGGAAAACUUGCAAACAAUCAUGUAUUUUCUUCCAGAACUAUGUGAUCAUGUCAAUACUGAACCAGCAGUCAUGUCAUCACAGCCCAUUUCGCCUAGAGCCACAGUUUUUGGCAAGGGAAAUGUUGAGAAUGCUGGAGACAUACAUCAUGGAUUCAGCUGGUGUUGAAAAGUUUUUCUGUGCUUUUCCAAACUACUACAAAUGCUGCUGUUAGCAUAUGUUUAUAUAAACUGGUCUUUUUCCACUACAGUUUUGAAAACAGAAAGCUAUAAAAAGUCAGUAUAAAGAACAGGUUGGCUACAAAACACAUAUACUAGUAUUUCUGCAGUUUGUAAAUUGUAUUUUCUAAUUAUUUUACUAUUUAUAAUGUAUUUUUACAAGUUUUAUUAACUCAAAAGCUACAGAAAAGAAAAAGCAGACAGCUUGCAUAUAGCUUGAAUAUGAACCACUGAAAAAUACAAUUCUAUUUGACCUUUAUGCUUUACAAAUUUGCUCUGUCACGUUCUAAAACACUUGAGUGGCAUCAGCUUAAUCUGAAACCAGGCUGAACACACAGUAUGAGAAAGAACUAGCCUGACCUCCUGUGGCCGAAACAUUGCAAAACUGUAAAUUUACCACCAU